Peromyscus eremicus (cactus mouse) is the source of this 1264-nucleotide long non-coding RNA. RefSeq lists it as uncharacterized. The transcript is spliced from 3 exons. NCBI's taxonomy places the organism in Eukaryota, Metazoa, Chordata, Mammalia, Rodentia, Cricetidae. The record is from RefSeq and is a predicted model, not a curated record.
CGUCGCUGGUGGGAGUACAAACUUGUAUAGACACUAUGGAAAUCAAUGUGAAAGUUCCCAGGAAGAUAAGACUCGAUCUACUUCAAGAUCUAGCUAUAGCACUCUUAGGCAUAUAUACAAAGGGGACUUCAUCCUAUCACAAGGACACUUGUUCACCCGGGUUCGUUGCUGCUUCAUUUAUAACAGGUAGAAAUUGAAAAGAGCUUAAAUGUCCAUCAACAGAUGAAUGGAUGAAGAAAAUGUGAUACAUUUUACAAUGAAAUAUUAUUCAACUGUUUAAAAAAUGAAAUUUUCAGGUAAAUAGAUACAGUUAGAAAAAAAAUCCUGAGUGAUAUAACCCACACACAGACAAAUAUGGUAGGAAUUGGGUUUAUAUGAAGAUGUUAGCUUAAACAUUUGAUAGGCAUUCCAUAAUACAGCUAGAGUAAGGGACUCCAUGGGAAGAAAGAAUUGCCUGAGUAAGAGGAAAUGGAAUACAGUUAUAGAGAUACAGAGGAGGAGACUAGAAUGGGAGGAUUAAACAGAGUGGGAGAGGAAAGAGUGGGAUAAGGGAGGAAAACUAGAGAUGGACAGCUAACACUAAAGGCCGUCUGAGAGGCCAUAUAUACAUCUACUGCAGUAGAAGCUUCAUAACACACACACACACAUACACACAUACACACACACACACACACACACACACACACACACACACACACACGGAAGCUAAAUGGAAUCACUAAAUAAGGAGAAGACAAAGCCUCAACUAGACAUCUCUUCCUACCAAAUGAAAUCUCCAGUGCCAGGAAUGAGUUACAUCUAAUUGAGUUGCUGGCCAAAGAUGUCUCAUGGAAACCCCCAAGCAACUCCAGCUAUAGUCAAGGCUAUUGAUUCCUCCCCAUAAACUUAAGGGCUUCUUCUUUGAUGAACAUCUUGCAGAGAUGUUAAUGUAAGAGCACUGAAGAGUCACUGUGUACACUGGGUCUGCUAUGGUUUUGAGACCAGACACUGAGAGAAAAUAUUUCUACAAUGAAUUAACUACUUUCUAGUUGCUUCUUGCCUGGUCACAGUGAUGAGAAAAUCAACCCAGCCAAUCAUCAGGCUUUGAUAUCUUUGAAUUUUUCAUUCACCAACUGCAACUAUCUCCUGAUAUUUAUGAGCUAUUCAAUUUUUCAUUUCUAGUAUUUCCACUUAUUCUCUUUUAUAAUUUCAAUUUAUCACUGGAAACGUACCAGACUUUACCUUUGUGCUUCUAGAGCCAUGAACCAAAGUAAGAACUCACAUA